RNAcentral lists this ribosomal RNA (546 nucleotides) under uncultured Glomus. RNAcentral describes it as "SSU rRNA". It matches the Rfam family "Eukaryotic small subunit ribosomal RNA", at positions 548 to 1098 of the family's 1831-position model. Lineage: Eukaryota; Fungi; Glomeromycota; Glomeromycetes; Glomerales; Glomeraceae. The record is from RNAcentral.
UUGGAGGGCAAGUCUGGUGCCAGCAGCCGCGGUAAUUCCAGCUCCAAUAGCGUAUAUUAAAGUUGUUGCAGUUAAAAAGCUCGCAGUUGAAUUUCGGGAUUAGUACGUCGGUCGUGCCUUAGGUACGUACUGGUGUUACUGGUUCCUACCUUCUGACGAACCAUCAUGUCAUUAAUUUGGUGUGGUGGGGAAUCAGGACUGUUACUUUGAAAAAAUUAGAGUGUUUAAAGCAGGCUCGCGCUUGAAUACAUUAGCAUGGAAUAAUGAAAUAGGACGUUGAUCCUAUUUUGUUGGUUUCUAGGAUUGACGUAAUGAUUAAUAGGGAUAGUUGGGGGCAUUGGUAUUCAAUUGUCAGAGGUGAAAUUCUUGGAUUUAUUGAAGACUAACUACUGCGAAAGCAUUUGCCAAGGAUGUUUUCAUUAAUCAAGAACGAAAGUUAGGGGAUCGAAGACGAUCAGAUACCGUCGUAGUCUUAACCAUAAACUAUGCCGACUAGGGAUCGGAUGAUGUUAUUUUUAAUGACUCAUUCGGCACCUUACGGGAAAC